Hyaena hyaena (striped hyena) is the source of this 137-nucleotide small nuclear RNA. RefSeq annotates it as U4 spliceosomal RNA. The record is from RefSeq and is a predicted model, not a curated record. The transcript has a single exon. Lineage: Eukaryota; Metazoa; Chordata; Mammalia; Carnivora; Hyaenidae.
AGCUUUGCACAGUGGCAGUAUCAUAGCCAAGGAGAUGUAUCCAAGGCACGAUUAUUGCUAAUUGAAAAUAUAUACAAAAGAUAGAUAUGCUCCUUUUUUAAAUAUAUGAAUUAAUGGCAAUCAAAAUUACAUAUGAU